GUUAUUUCUGAACACAUUUAGACUGUCAUUACUGUCAUUAAUGUAGACCCAACAACCAUCAAGUGUUAUUUCUGAACACAUUUAGACUGUCAUUGUUGUCAUUGUAGACCCAACAACCAUCAAGUAUUAUUCUGAACACAUUUAGACUGUCAUUAAUGUAGACACUCAUAUGUCCAAACGGUUUCUGAAGAUGCCAAUAAAAUAUUAUUCUGUUGUUCAAA
This is a long non-coding RNA of Haliotis rubra (blacklip abalone), 221 nucleotides long. RefSeq lists it as uncharacterized. Lineage: Eukaryota; Metazoa; Mollusca; Gastropoda; Lepetellida; Haliotidae. The record is from RefSeq and is a predicted model, not a curated record. The transcript is spliced from 2 exons.